Molecule: ribosomal RNA, 253 nt
Filed under: uncultured bacterium
Lineage: Bacteria
Description: partial 16S ribosomal RNA
Rfam family: Bacterial small subunit ribosomal RNA
Source: RNAcentral
UACGCAGGGGGCUAGCGUUGCUCGGAAUCACUGGGCGUAAAGCGCACGUAGGCGGAUUGUUAAGUCAGGGGUGAAAUCCUGGAGCUCAACUCCAGAACUGCCUUUGAUACUGGCAAUCUCGAGUUCGGGAGAGGUGAGUGGAACUGCGAGUGUAGAGGUGAAAUUCGUAGAUAUUCGCAAGAACACCAGUGGCGAAGGCGGCUCACUGGCCCGAUACUGACGCUGAGGUGCGAAAGCGUGGGGAGCAAACAGG